RNAcentral lists this ribosomal RNA (505 nucleotides) under uncultured bacterium. RNAcentral's name for it is "partial 16S ribosomal RNA". It matches the Rfam family "Bacterial small subunit ribosomal RNA", at positions 28 to 507 of the family's 1533-position model. The record is from RNAcentral.
GACGAACGCUGGCGGCGUGCCUAAUACAUGCAAGUAGAACGCACAGUUUAUACCGUAGCUUGCUACACCAUAAACUGUGAGUUGCGAACGGGUGAGUAACGCGUAGGUAACCUGCCUGGUAGCGGGGGAUAACUAUUGGAAACGAUAGCUAAUACCGCAUAAUAUUGAUUAUUGCAUGAUAAUUGAUUGAAAGAUGCUAUUGCAUCACUACCAGAUGGACCUGCGUUGUAUUAGCUAGUAGGUGAGGUAACGGCUCACCUAGGCGACGAUACAUAGCCGACCUGAGAGGGUGAUCGGCCACACUGGGACUGAGACACGGCCCAUACUCCUACGGGAGGCAGCAGUAGGGAAUCUUCAGCAAUGGACGAAAGUCUGACCGAGCAACGCCGCGUGAGUGAAGAAGGUUUUCGGAUCGUAAAGCUCUGUUGUAAGAGAAGAACGGGUGUGAGAGUGGAAAGUUCACACUGUGACGGUAUCUUACCAGAAAGGGACGGCUAACUACGUG